UACGUAGGGUGCGCGCGUUAAUCGGAAUUACUGGGCGUAAAGCGUGCGCAGGCGGUUUUGUAAGUCAGAUGUGAAAUCCCCGGGCUUAACCUGGGAACUGCGUUUGAAACUACAAGGCUAGAGUGUGGCAGAGGGGGGUGGAAUUCCACGUGUAGCAGUGAAAUGCGUAGAGAUGUGGAGGAACACCGAUGGCGAAGGCAGCCCCCUGGGUUAACACUGACGCUCAGGCACGAAAGCGUGGGGAGCAAACAGG
RNAcentral lists this ribosomal RNA (253 nucleotides) under uncultured bacterium. RNAcentral describes it as "partial 16S ribosomal RNA". It matches the Rfam family "Bacterial small subunit ribosomal RNA", at positions 524 to 776 of the family's 1533-position model. The record is from RNAcentral.